GACGAACGCUGGCGGCGUGCUUAACACAUGCAAGUCGAACGGAAAGGCCCUGCUUUUGUGGGGUGCUCGAGUGGCGAACGGGUGAGUAACACGUGAGUAACCUGCUCUUGACUUUGGGAUAACUUCAGGAAACUGGGGCUAAUACCGGAUAGGAGCUCCUGCUGCAUGGUGGGGGUUGGAAAGUUUCGGCGGUUGGGGAUGGACGCGCGGCUUAUCAGCUUGUUGGUGGGGUAGUGGCUUACCAAGGCUUUGACGGGUAGCCGGCCUGAGAGGGUGACCGGCCACAAUGGGACUGAGAUACGGACCAGACUCCUACGUGAGGCAGCAGUGGGGAAUAUUGCACAAUGGGCGGAAGUCUGAUGCAGCAGCGCCGCGUGCGUGAUGACGGCCUUCGGGUUGUAAACCGCUUUCGCCUGUGACGAAGCGUGAGUGACGGUAAUGGGUAAAGAAGCACCGGCUAACUACGUG
This 468-nucleotide ribosomal RNA is filed under the name uncultured bacterium. Its description in RNAcentral is "partial 16S ribosomal RNA". It matches the Rfam family "Bacterial small subunit ribosomal RNA", at positions 28 to 507 of the family's 1533-position model. The record is from RNAcentral.